ACUCAGGCGUUGAGGAGACGCGCACGCGUGGUUUCGGACACCAAACUCGCUCUAAAAGUCACUCACGUGGAGCGGUUAGAAGAGUCACGUUUCGAAACGCAGACGCAGAGGUAGAGAUUGCGUGUGUAAAAAAUAGAGAUUUGUGGGGACAGCGGCACAGACCGUGCGACGCAAAAGUCCGAAAGGAAUCAGCGUUUUAUUUAAAAGGUACGUUUGGGGUCCUACGCGGCUUCGGUCUUUGUCUUGUUGUCACCAUCUUCUU
Molecule: long non-coding RNA, 262 nt
Organism: Arabidopsis thaliana (thale cress)
Lineage: Eukaryota; Viridiplantae; Streptophyta; Magnoliopsida; Brassicales; Brassicaceae
Product: other RNA
Exons: 1
Source: RefSeq